CCUACGGGAGGCUGCAGUGGGGAAUAUUGGACAAUGGGCGAAAGCCUGAUCCAGCCAUGCCGCGUGUGUGAAGAAGGCCUUCGGGUUGUAAAGCACUUUCAGUGGGGAAGAAAGCCUUGGGGCUAAUACCCUCGAGGAAGGACAUCACCCACAGAAGAAGCACCGGCUAACUCCGUGCCAGCAGCCGCGGUAAUACGGAGGGUGCGAGCGUUAAUCGGAAUUACUGGGCGUAAAGCGCGCGUAGGCGGUCUGAUAAGCCGGUUGUGAAAGCCCCGGGCUCAACCUGGGAACGGCAUCCGGAACUGUCAGGCUAGAGUGCAGGAGAGGAAGGUAGAAUUCCCGGUGUAGCGGGGAAAUGCGUAGAGAUCGGGAGGAAUACCAGUGGCGAAGGCGGCCUUCUGGACUGACACUGACGCUGAGGUGCGAAAGCGUGGGUAGCAAACAGGAUUAGAUACCCUUGUAGUC
Molecule: ribosomal RNA, 465 nt
Filed under: Vreelandella stevensii
Lineage: Bacteria; Pseudomonadati; Pseudomonadota; Gammaproteobacteria; Oceanospirillales; Halomonadaceae
Description: partial 16S ribosomal RNA
Rfam family: Bacterial small subunit ribosomal RNA
Source: RNAcentral